UACGUAGGGGGCUAGCGUUGCUCGGAAUCACUGGGCGUAAAGCGCACGUAGGCGGAUUGCUAAGUCAGGGGUGAAAUCCUGGAGCUCAACUCCAGAACUGCCUUUGAUACUGGCGACCUUGAGUCCGGGAGAGGUGAGUGGAACUGCGAGUGUAGAGGUGAAAUGCGCAGAUAUCAGGAAGAACACCCGUGGCGAAGGCGGUUCUCUGGGACGGUACUGACGCUGAGACGCGAAAGCGUGGGGAGCGAACAGG
RNAcentral lists this ribosomal RNA (253 nucleotides) under uncultured bacterium. RNAcentral describes it as "partial 16S ribosomal RNA". It matches the Rfam family "Bacterial small subunit ribosomal RNA", at positions 524 to 776 of the family's 1533-position model. The record is from RNAcentral.